This is a long non-coding RNA of Oncorhynchus tshawytscha (Chinook salmon), 1323 nucleotides long. The record is from Ensembl. NCBI's taxonomy places the organism in Eukaryota, Metazoa, Chordata, Actinopteri, Salmoniformes, Salmonidae.
CUUUUAAAGUUUCUUCAAGUGCAGUUUCAGAAACCAAGCACUAUGAUGAAACUGGCUCUCAUGAGGACCGCCACAGGAAAAGAAGACCCAGAGUUAACUCUGCUGCAGAGGAUAAAUUCAUUAGUUACCAGCCUGAGAAAUUACAGCCCAAAUAAAUGCUUCAGAGUUCAAGUAACAGACACAUCUCACCAUCAACUGUUCAGAGGAGACUGUGCAAAUCAGUCCUUCAUGGUUGAAUUGCUGCAAAGAAACCACUACUUAAGGACACCAAUAAGAAGGGACUUGCUUGGGCCAAGAAAUAUGAACAAUGGACAUUAGACCAGUGGAAAUCUGUCCUUUGGCCUGAUGAGUCCAAAUUUGAGAUUUUUGGUUCCAACCGACGUGUCUUUCUGAGAUGUAGAGUGAUAUUCACGUGUGGUUUGCACUGUGAAGCAUGGGGGAGGAGGUGUGGUAACACUGUCAGUGAUUUAUUUAAAAUUCAAGGCAUACUUAACCAGCAUGACUGCCACAGCAUUCUGCAGCAAUACGCCAUCCCAUCUGGUUUGCGCUUAGUGAGACUAUCAUUUGUUUUUCAACAGGACAAUGACCCAUCACACCUCCAGGCUGUGUAGGGGCUAUUUGACCAAGGAGAGUGAUGGUGCUGCAUCAGAUGACCUGGCCUCCACAAUCACCUGACCUCAACCCAUUUGAGAUGAGUUGGGAUGAGUUGGACAUUAGAGUGAAGGAAAAGCAGCCAACAAGUGCUCAGCAUAUGACCUAAGCCCUAGGACCAUGCCUCAAAACUACCUGGCCUGAUGACUCAUUGCUGUCCUCAGUCCCAUUGCUGUCCUCAAGUCCACCUGGUCGUGCUGCUGCUCCAGUUUCAACUUAUUAUUAUCUGACCCUGCUGGUCGUCUAUGAACGUUUGAACAUCUUGGCCAUGUACUGUUAUUAUCUCCACCUGGCACAGCCAGAAGAGGACUGGCCACCCCUCAGAGCCUGGUUCCUCUCUAGGUUUCUUCCUAGGUUCCAGACUUUCUAGGGAGUUUUUCCUAGCCACUGUGCUGUUUGGGGUUUUAGGCCUGAUUUCCGUACAGCACUUUAUGACAUUGGCUGAUGUAAAAAGGGCUUUAUAAAUAAAUUGAUUGAUUCCAGGUGAAGCUGGUUGAGUGAAUGCCAAGUGUGUGCAAAGCUGCCAUCAAGGCAAAGGGUGGCUACUUUGAAGAAUCUAAAAUAUAUUUUGAUUUGUUUAACACUUUUGGUUAUUACAUGAUUCCACGUGUUAUUUAUUCGUUUUCAUGUCUUCACUAUUCUACAAUGUAGAAAAUACUAAAAAUAAAUAAA